RNAcentral lists this ribosomal RNA (456 nucleotides) under uncultured bacterium. RNAcentral's name for it is "bacterial SSU rRNA". It matches the Rfam family "Bacterial small subunit ribosomal RNA", at positions 43 to 524 of the family's 1533-position model. The record is from RNAcentral.
CAGGCCUAACACAUGCAAGUCGAACGGGCGGUAGCAAUACCGCUAGUGGCGCACGGGUGCGUAACGCGUAACCAACCUGCCCUUGACUGGGGGAUAGCCCGCCGAAAGGCGGAUUAAUACCGCAUAACCUCGCAGUAUGGCAUCAUACAACGAGUAAAGAUUUAUUGGUCAAGGAUGGGGUUGCGUGACAUUAGCUAGUUGGCGGGGUAAGGGCCCACCAAGGCGACGAUGUCUAGGGGACCUGAGAGGGUGAUCCCCCACACUGGCACUGAGAUACGGGCCAGACUCCUACGGGAGGCAGCAGUAGGGAAUAUUGGGCAAUGGGCGAGAGCCUGACCCAGCCAUGCCGCGUGCCGGAUGAAGGCCUUAGGGUUGUAAAGCUCUUUUACCCGGGAUGAUAAUGACAGUACCGGGAGAAUAAGCUCCGGCUAACUCCGUGCCAGCAGCCGCGGUAAU